GACGAACGCUGGCGGCGUGCUUAACACAUGCAAGUCGAACGGUAAGGCCCUGCUUUUUUGGGGUGCUCGAGUGGCGAACGGGUGAGUAACACGUGAGUAACCUGCCCUUGACUUUGCUAUAACUUCACCAAACUGGGGCUAAUACCGGAUAGGAGCUCCUGCUGCAUUGUCGGGGUUGGAAUGUUUCGGCGGUUGGGGAUGGACUCGCGGCUUAUCAGCUUGUUGGUGGGGUAGUGGCUUACCAAGGCUUUGACGGGUAGCCGGCCUGAGAGGGUGACCGGCCACAUUGGGACUGAGAUACGGGCCAGACGCCUACGGGAGGGAGCAGUGGGGAAUAUUGCACAACGGGCGGAAGCCUGAUGCAGCAACGCCGCGUGCGGGAUGACGGCCUUCGGGUUGUAAACCGCGUUCGCCUGGGACGAAGCGUGAGUGACGGUAAUGGGUAAAGAAGCACCGGCUAACUACGUG
Molecule: ribosomal RNA, 468 nt
Filed under: uncultured bacterium
Lineage: Bacteria
Description: partial 16S ribosomal RNA
Rfam family: Bacterial small subunit ribosomal RNA
Source: RNAcentral